Molecule: ribosomal RNA, 431 nt
Filed under: uncultured bacterium
Lineage: Bacteria
Description: partial 16S ribosomal RNA
Rfam family: Bacterial small subunit ribosomal RNA
Source: RNAcentral
AACGAACGCUGGCGGCAGGCCUAACACAUGCAAGUCGAGCGCCCCGCAAGGGGAGCGGCGGACGGGUGAGUAACGCGUGGGAAUAUGCCCUUUGCUACGGAAUAGUCUCGGGAAACUGGGGGUAAUACCGUAUACGCCCUUUGGGGGAAAGAUUUAUCGGCGAAGGAUUAGCCCGCGUUGGAUUAGGUAGUUGGUGGGGUAAUGGCCUACCAAGCCGACGAUCCAUAGCUGGUUUGAGAGGAUGAUCAGCCACACUGGGACUGAGACACGGCCCAGACUCCUACGGGAUGCAGCAGUGGGGAAUCUUAGACAAUGGGGGCAACCCUGAUCUAGCCAUGCCGCGUGAGUGAUGAAGGCCUUAGGGUUGUAAAGCUCUUUCAGCUGGGAAGAUAAUGACGGUACCAGCAGAAGAAGCCCCGGCUAACUCCGUG